GAUGAACGCUAGCUACAGGCUUAACACAUGCAAGUCGAGGGGAAACGGCAUUGAGUGCUUGCACUCUUUGGACGUCGACCGGCGCACGGGUGAGUAACGCGUAUCCAACCUUCCCAUUACUGUGGGAUAACCUGCCGAAAGGCAGACUAAUACCGCAUAGUCUUCGAUGACGGCAUCAGAUUUGAAGUAAAGAUUUAUCGGUAAUGGAUGGGGAUGCGUCUGAUUAGCUUGUUGGCGGGGUAACGGCCCACCAAGGCGACGAUCAGUAGGGGUUCUGAGAGGAAGGUCCCCCACAUUGGAACUGAGACACGGUCCAAACUCCUACGGGAGGCAGCAGUGAGGAAUAUUGGUCAAUGGUCGGAAGUCUGAACCAGCCAAGUAGCGUGCAGGAUGACGGCCCUAUGGGUUGUAAACUGCUUUUGUAUGGGGAUAAAGUU
RNAcentral lists this ribosomal RNA (437 nucleotides) under Prevotella melaninogenica. Its description in RNAcentral is "bacterial SSU rRNA". It matches the Rfam family "Bacterial small subunit ribosomal RNA", at positions 28 to 453 of the family's 1533-position model. Lineage: Bacteria; Pseudomonadati; Bacteroidota; Bacteroidia; Bacteroidales; Prevotellaceae. The record is from RNAcentral.